Oncorhynchus tshawytscha (Chinook salmon) is the source of this 906-nucleotide long non-coding RNA. The record is from Ensembl. Lineage: Eukaryota; Metazoa; Chordata; Actinopteri; Salmoniformes; Salmonidae.
AUAAUCCAAUAGUAAAGAAAUCAAAUACAUGAUAAACACUGCCAAUGAGACCAUGAUUUGACUGUGAAACCACUGAUGAUGAGCAUAAAAUACAUAGUCUCGCUACUGUUAUUUUAUUAUUGCUCCUUAAUUAUUUGAAAUAUUUCUUUAUUUUUUCUUUUUUUCUUAAAGCUGCAUUGUUGUUAAGGGCUUGUGGGUAAGCAUUUCACUGUAUUCUGCACAUGUGACAAAUACAUUCUGAUUUGAUUUUAAAAGGUUAUCAUGAUCAUUACACUAAAAUGGAACACUAAGAAACUACAAACAUUAAAUAUUAUGACAUCAGUAAAUAUUAUGACAUUGAGAAAUUAACUUUGGCAUCCAGUAUAGUAUACAGUAUUGAAUGAAACAAAAUCAAAAGUCAAUUUACAGUUUACUGUAAAGAACCUAUAGUUGUUUUAGCAAGCUUACAUCUCAUGCACCUUGCACAUAAGUUACUGUAUCUAUUUUGAAAAGCCAUAGGCUACCUUGUGGAAGCACAAACAAAAAAGUAUAGUAAUUAUGCAGCAGUAGAAAGGUCAAAUUGUCAUUCACCUAAGGUUCAACAAGAAAUGAUUCACCUUAUGAUUAUACUGAAUUCAUGAUAUUCUUAUGCUGAAUAUAAAAGUAUGAUUUUAUCCCUUUACUAACAUGUCUCCAGUGGAGGUUGUGUUACUGGAUGGCUGCAAGGAUGUUGUUGUACUCUGGGGUGUCCGGGUCCAUGUACUUCUUAUCGGACACCCAGGACUUCAGCCUCGCCUGCUGAUUCUCGUCGAUGAUCCCCUCUUUACUAUGGUGAUUCAGCAUCUGAUUGAAGCCAGCUUUAUAGUAGAACACCGUUCCUUCAGGAGAUAAAUCAAUGGAUCCCAGGGUAAGUUUAUUGGGCUUUCC